This is a long non-coding RNA of Pectinophora gossypiella (pink bollworm), 654 nucleotides long. RefSeq lists it as uncharacterized. The transcript is spliced from 3 exons. NCBI's taxonomy places the organism in Eukaryota, Metazoa, Arthropoda, Insecta, Lepidoptera, Gelechiidae. The record is from RefSeq and is a predicted model, not a curated record.
GACACAAACUAUGAGUGAGAAAAGGACAAAUGAUUCGCUCUUUGCUUCAUUUUUUCCGAGGUUGUCACAACAUGAAAUGUCAUUUGGACCUAUUGGACUCAUUUUAAUUCGGCCAAAUACAUAGUAACAUACAUAAGAAGAUUUUACUUAUAUUUACCGAACUAUUUGACACGGUCGCGUGAACUUUGUUUACGAGUGUCUUGUGUUCAGAUUGUUUUAAGUGAUAAUUUAACAAUAUUUUUCCAAAUAAAUGGAAAGAAACUUUUAUUUAUAUCAAAUAAUUGAGUGUCUCGACUCUGUGACAUUAUGUCUUGUGUGGUAUGGGGCUGCAGCUCACAUUCAGGAAGAAAAGAAAAUAGCCAACAACUUCUGUCGUUUCAUCGAUAUUAAAUCCAAAAGUGUCGACUGGAUUUACAUGAAAAGUCAGUUCAAGAAGACGAGAUGAAAAAUUUAAAAGAAAAGCUGAACAAGUCACGCCUCAAGAUCAAACGACUUAAUGAAAAAAAAAUCAAUGUGACAGGGUGUCACAAAGACAGUUUCUAAACAAAUUGACACUGUUUAGAAAUUAAUAAAUUUGGAUUUAUUGUAAAUAUAAUGUACAUAAUUAAUAACGUGUAAAAUAAAUACUUGCUAAUGAACAGAUUUACGAUCUAA